GACGAACGCUGGCGGCGUGCUUAACACAUGCAAGUCGAACGCUGAAGCUCAGCUUGCUGGGUGGAUGAGUGGCGAACGGGUGAGUAACACGUGAGUAACCUGCCCUCUUCUUUGGGAUAACGCCCGGAAACGGGUGCUAAUACUGGAUAUUCACUGAUUCUCGCAUGGGGGUUGGUGGAAAGGUUUUUUCUGGUGGGGGAUGGGCUCGCGGCCUAUCAGCUUGUUGGUGGGGUGAUGGCCCACCAAGGCUUUGACGGGUAGCCGGCCUGAGAGGGUGACCGGUCACAUUGGGACUGAGAUACGGCCCAGACUCCUACGGGAGGCAGCAGUGGGGAAUAUUGCACAAUGGGCGAAAGCCUGAUGCAGCGACGCCGCGUGAGGGAUGGAGGCCUUCGGGUUGUAAACCUCUUUCGCUCAUGGUCAAGCCGCAGCUUGGGGUUGUGGUGAGGGUAGUGGGUAAAGAAGCGCCGGCUAACUACGUG
Molecule: ribosomal RNA, 482 nt
Filed under: uncultured bacterium
Lineage: Bacteria
Description: partial 16S ribosomal RNA
Rfam family: Bacterial small subunit ribosomal RNA
Source: RNAcentral